UGCGUAGGCGGACUAGUAAGUCAGUGGUGAAAUCUUUCGGCUCAACCGAGAAACUGCCGUUGAUACUGUUAGUCUUGAGUUCGGUAGAGGUAGGCGGAAUGUGUAAUGUAGCGGUGAAAUGCUUAGAUAUUACACAGAACACCAAUUGCGUAGGCAGCUUACUAGACCGACACUGACGCUGAGGCACGAAAGCGUGGGUAGCGAACAGGAUUAGAUACCCUGGUAGUCC
Molecule: ribosomal RNA, 229 nt
Filed under: uncultured bacterium
Lineage: Bacteria
Description: partial 16S ribosomal RNA
Rfam family: Bacterial small subunit ribosomal RNA
Source: RNAcentral